RNAcentral lists this ribosomal RNA (251 nucleotides) under Staphylococcus aureus. Its description in RNAcentral is "partial 23S ribosomal RNA". It matches the Rfam family "Bacterial large subunit ribosomal RNA", at positions 1168 to 1456 of the family's 2925-position model. Lineage: Bacteria; Bacillati; Bacillota; Bacilli; Caryophanales; Staphylococcaceae. The record is from RNAcentral.
AAAUGUACCGGGGCUAAACAUAUUACCGAAGCUGUGGAUUGUCCUUUGGACAAUGGUAGGAGAGCGUUCUAAGGGCGUUGAAGCAUGAUCGUAAGGACAUGUGGAGCGCUUAGAAGUGAGAAUGCCGUCCACCGAUUGACUAAGGUUUCCAGAGGAAGGCUCGUCCGCUCUGGGUUAGUCGGGUCCUAAGCUGAGGCCGACAGGCGUAGGCGAUGGAUAACAGGUUGAUAUUCCUGUACCACCUAUAAUCG